RNAcentral lists this unclassified non-coding RNA (363 nucleotides) under soil metagenome. RNAcentral describes it as "partial contains 5.8S ribosomal RNA, internal transcribed spacer 2, and large subunit ribosomal RNA". The stretch from base 1 to 122 matches the Rfam family "5.8S ribosomal RNA", at positions 35 to 154 of the family's 154-position model. The record is from RNAcentral.
GAUGAAGAAACGCAGCGAAAUGCGAUAAGUAAUGCGAAUUGCAGAAUUCCAGUGAGUCAUCGAAUCUUUGAACGCACAUUGCGCCCUUUGGUAUUCCGAAGGGCAUGCCUGUUCGAGCGUCAUUAUCACCCCUCAAGCCCCCGGCUUGGUGUUGGACGGUUGGUGACGGUAACGUCACCCCUCCCAAAGACAAUGACGGCGGCCUCGUUGGACCCCCGGUACACUGAGUUCCUCACCGAACACGUAUCGGAUCAAGGGUGCGCGGGGCACGGUCUGCCUCCCCUCAGGGAGAACUUUUUCUAAGGUUGACCUCGGAUCAGGUAGGGAUACCCGCUGAACUUAAGCAUAUCAAUAAGCGGAGGA